GUGGGUAUAGCUCAGUGGUAGAGCAUGUGCUUAGCAUGCACAAGGUCCUGGGUUCAAUACCCAGUACCUCCA
Molecule: transfer RNA, 72 nt
Filed under: Camelus bactrianus (Bactrian camel)
Lineage: Eukaryota; Metazoa; Chordata; Mammalia; Artiodactyla; Camelidae
Also listed under: 2 other names
Rfam family: tRNA
About the family: Transfer RNA (tRNA) molecules are approximately 80 nucleotides in length. Their secondary structure includes four short double-helical elements and three loops (D, anti-codon, and T loops). Further hydrogen bonds mediate the characteristic L-shaped molecular structure. tRNAs have two regions of fundamental functional importance: the anti-codon, which is responsible for specific mRNA codon recognition, and the 3' end, to which the tRNAs corresponding amino acid is attached (by aminoacyl-tRNA synthetases). tRNAs cope with the degeneracy of the genetic code in two manners: having more than one tRNA (with a specific anti-codon) for a particular amino acid; and 'wobble' base-pairing, i.e. permitting non-standard base-pairing at the 3rd anti-codon position.
Source: Rfam by way of RNAcentral